GCCUGGGUGGCUCAGUUGGUUGAGCAUCCGACUUCGGCUCAGGCCAUGAUCUCACGGUUCGUGGGUUUGAGCCCCACGUCAGGCU
RNAcentral lists this transfer RNA (85 nucleotides) under Felis catus (domestic cat). It matches the Rfam family "tRNA". From Rfam's summary of the family: Transfer RNA (tRNA) molecules are approximately 80 nucleotides in length. The record is from Rfam by way of RNAcentral. Lineage: Eukaryota; Metazoa; Chordata; Mammalia; Carnivora; Felidae.